UCUAUUUCCUAUCACUAAUACUUACAAGAAGAAAAAGAUGAAGAAAGAGCCAAUGGAUGUAGGAAGUUUUGGGGCCUCUCCUCUCCAGCUAUCUCAGAGAUACUGCUUCCUGCAGUUUGCCUCUGUGAUUCCUUAUUUACCUCUACCUUUUCCAUGAGAUUAAGAACACUAUAAGAAAGCCUACAAAUGCUAUGGUUGCACAUACAGAAAAAUCCAAGACCUCAGAGACUUCUUCCCUUCACUCUUUGAUGUAACUGAUUUCUCCCCAUCAGUAUCCUGAUCAUCUGGUUCCUUCAUUUCCUCUGAUCCAGGAUGACCCACCAGCAGAAGGGUGCAACUACCACCAGAGACCUCUGACCUCUGCAAGACAGCUAAUUAUAAUCACAGAUUCUCUUUCUCUAGGUAAAUUGUCAUUGUGGUGCACUUUGGUUUUCUAGAGGUCCACUACCAAAGUUCAUCUUUUCCUGAAAUGCUUCACCACUAAAAUUAACCUUCUGCCAUCCUACCUUUGGUCCAUCCCUCCCUCUUUCUCUAUUUUCAAAUUCCCUUGGAGUUACUAAUCAAUUUCAGUUUUUAAAAUAUUUUUUGAGCACACCUGCAGUGUAUCAAGUCUUAUGUUGGGUACUAAAUUACAAAACUGGAGAAGAGAAAUAUGGUCCCUAACUUU
Long non-coding RNA from Symphalangus syndactylus (siamang), 667 nucleotides. RefSeq lists it as uncharacterized. The record is from RefSeq and is a predicted model, not a curated record. Lineage: Eukaryota; Metazoa; Chordata; Mammalia; Primates; Hylobatidae.